This is a long non-coding RNA of Ipomoea nil (Japanese morning glory), 419 nucleotides long. RefSeq lists it as uncharacterized. Lineage: Eukaryota; Viridiplantae; Streptophyta; Magnoliopsida; Solanales; Convolvulaceae. The transcript is spliced from 4 exons. The record is from RefSeq and is a predicted model, not a curated record.
CUGGGGUGUUUUGGUUCACGAUUCUAUUACAUUGUAGUAUCUGUUCAAACAUACUUUCUUAACUUAUUGAAGCACACAGAGUCAACAACGUUUCCAUCGAUCUCAUGAUUUCUACAUGAGAGAAGUCACUACAUGCCAUCUGAGCAGAAAAUGUUUGACUUCUGCAUCGGAUUAUGAGAUGCCAUUUUGCAAGUGAGGUAAAAGUUGUUGUAAAGGCGUGGUGGAGAGGGUAGACGGGGACGAGGCGGAGCAUGAGAUGGGCACUUCAACUUUCGGGGUUAAGUUGUUGUCCUUUCCAUGCACUGCCUCUUCCCUGGCUCUCCUUUCCUCCAUUAUUUUUCCUCUCUAUGUUCAUUCAUAUGCAUCGCCUUCUAUUAUAUUAUUAUUAGAAAAAUGUUCAAGUUAGUAUGUGAACUACA